AUUUGAAUGAAAAAUCAAAGAAUAUUUUACACUUUAACCUCUAAUUGGUAAUAUCUAUUUUAAUUUUGUACUAAAUUUCUUAAAUGGACCAAUCCAGUAUCCAAACACUAACUUGUAAACAAAUCAAUCCUUUCAUGCCAAAAAAAAAAUAGUGCACAUAAAUUGCAUUCGCUUCUACGCAAACAACAACUACUAAUGUUUAAACUAUUUAUGGUGUAUUGUAGUGAGAAAAAUGCUAGUGGUACAUAAUAGAAUGUACCUAAGGGUGUACAUCCCCUUCACAUGGGGUGUGGGGUCCACUCGAAUAAAUGUUUUUUAUUUGGGUGGAUCCCACACUCCAUGUGAGAGGGGUGUACACGCUUAGGUACACCCCUGUGUACCACUAGCACCACCGAAUAAAAAUUAUGCAGUCUCGUCAACUUUACUUAGCCUAUGUACUAUCUCAUGUUUAUAAACUAUUUAUAAACACCAAGGUCACUUUUACCCACAUAUCUCGAGCGACCCACAAAUUUUUUCAUUUAAUCAACAAUUAUUCUAUCUAUUCAUGAUUUAAUCCAUUUUUAAGUAUUUCCCAAACAUGCUAUUAAUUUACAAAAAUGUUUGGAUUAUUCGAAGAAAAAUCUCUGUAAAAAUGACAUCCCAUCUUAUUUGUUCUUAUUCAAAUCUUCUUAACCCAUGGUCUGAAAUAUUAGAUUAACAGAAAUGUUGGGUGUACCCUGCCAACACUCACAAAUAAUGGGUCCCACACCGAACCCAUUUGUCUCAAAAAAAAAAAAAAAAUUGGACCCGAUCUUAUAUUUAUUUCUUGAUCUCUUUAAUUAUGUUUAAAUGUAUUUAAGUGCCAAC
RNAcentral lists this long non-coding RNA (846 nucleotides) under Olea europaea subsp. europaea. The record is from RNAcentral. Lineage: Eukaryota; Viridiplantae; Streptophyta; Magnoliopsida; Lamiales; Oleaceae.